AACCCAUGGUGAGGGCACCUUCUUAGUAAGUCCUUAUAUCUCUCCCAUGCAUCGUAAAGUGUUUCUAAAUCCAUCUUCACAAAAGAAGAGAUAUCAUUACGUAAUUU
This 107-nucleotide small nucleolar RNA is filed under the name Gossypium arboreum. RNAcentral describes it as "Plant small nucleolar RNA R71". It matches the Rfam family "Plant small nucleolar RNA R71". Rfam says of the family: R71 is a member of the C/D box family of snoRNAs containing the C (UGAUGA) and D (CUGA) box motifs. Multiple nearly identical copies of this snoRNA have been identified in Arabidopsis, and it is thought to function as a 2'-O-ribose methylation guide for 18S ribosomal RNA. The record is from Rfam by way of RNAcentral. Lineage: Eukaryota; Viridiplantae; Streptophyta; Magnoliopsida; Malvales; Malvaceae.